AGAGUUUGAUCCUGGCUCAGAACGAACGCUGGCGGCAGGCUUAACACAUGCAAGUCGAACGCCCCCCUCGGGGGGAGUGGCAGACGGGUGAGUAACACGUGGGAACCGACCCAAUGGUACGGAAUAACUCGAGGAAACUCGUGCUAAUACCGUAUAAGCCCUACGGGGGAAAGAUUUAUCGCCAUUGGACGGGCCCGCGUCGGAUUAGCUAGUUGGUGAGGUAAAAGCUCACCAAGGCUACGAUCCGUAGCUGGUCUGAGAGGAUGAUCAGCCACACUGGGACUGAGACACGGCCCAGACUCCUACGGGAGGCAGCAGUGGGGAAUAUUGGACAAUGGGGGAAACCCUGAUCCAGCCAUGCCGCGUGGGUGAAGAAGGCCUUAGGGUUGUAAAUCCCUUUCAGCGGGGAAGAUAAUGACGGUACCCGCAGAAGAAGCCCCGGCUAACUCCGUGCCAGCAGCCGCGGUAAUACGGAGGGGGCUAGCGUUGUUCGGAAUUACUGGGCGUAAAGCGCACGUAGGUGGACUGUUUAGUCAGUG
This 539-nucleotide ribosomal RNA is filed under the name uncultured Alphaproteobacteria bacterium. RNAcentral describes it as "bacterial SSU rRNA". It matches the Rfam family "Bacterial small subunit ribosomal RNA", at positions 8 to 593 of the family's 1533-position model. The record is from RNAcentral. Lineage: Bacteria; Pseudomonadati; Pseudomonadota; Alphaproteobacteria.